This 327-nucleotide RNase P RNA is filed under the name Minisyncoccota bacterium. RNAcentral describes it as "RNase P RNA component class A". It matches the Rfam family "Bacterial RNase P class A". From Rfam's summary of the family: Ribonuclease P (RNase P) is a ubiquitous endoribonuclease, found in archaea, bacteria and eukarya as well as chloroplasts and mitochondria. The record is from RNAcentral. Lineage: Bacteria; Bacillati; Minisyncoccota.
GAACAUGGCCGAGUAAUGGGUCAUUGAUGAAGAUCUUUGACAGGAAAGUCCGGACAGCCGAGUAGAGGGUGCGUGGUGAAAGCCACGACUAGUUUAAUUACUAGCUAGUUAGAGCAACAGUGACGAACUGGGUAACGCCAGCUGAAACGAUCAAGUUUUUGGAUAAUUAAUCAGCAAUGAUUAAUUGGCAAUCCUCCCCGCUGCGAGCAACGAUUUUGACCUAAAUGGACCUACUCCCUUUAUUUCUUUUAGAAUGAGGUCAUAAAGUUGUGCCUAGACAAAUCAUUACUAAUCAAACAGAAUCCGGCUUAUGAGCCAUGUUCACUG